AACCGGGAGAACUGAAACAUCUAAGUACCCCGAGGAAAAGAAAUCAACCGAGAUUCCGCAAGUAGCGGCGAGCGAACGCGGAGAAGCCCAAUUAAGUUGCGUAUGAGCUAGUAGAACAUCCUGGGAAGGGUGGCCAUAGAGGGUGAUAGCCCCGUAUACGAAAGCCAUACACAAUGAAUCGAGUAGGGCGGGACACGUGAAAUCCUGUCUGAACAUGGGGGGACCAUCCUCCAAGGCUAAAUACUCGUUGUCGACCGAUAGUGAACCAGUACCGUGAGGGAAAGGCGAAAAGAACCCUGGUGAAGGGAGUGAAAUAGAACCUGAAACCGUGUGCAUACAAGCAGUCAGAGCAUAUGAAGAUAUGUGAUGGCGUACCUUUUGUAUAAUGGGUCAGCGAGUUACAUUCAGUGGCGAGGUUAACCGAAUAGGGGAGCCGUAGCGAAAGCGAGUCUUAAUAGGGCGAUAAGUCUCUGGGUGUAGACCCGAAACCGGGCGAUCUAUCCAUGGGCAGGUUGAAGGUUGAGUAACAUCAACUGGAGGACCGAACCCACGCAUGUUGAAAAAUGCGGGGAUGACCUGUGGAUAGGAGUGAAAGGCUAAACAAGCUCGGAGAUAGCUGGUUCUCCCCGAAAACUAUUGAGGUAGUGCCUUGUAGAUUGACUUACGGGGGUAGAGCACUGUUUCGGCUAGGGGGUCAUACCGACUUACCAACCCGAUGCAAACUCCGAAUACCGUAAAGUUUUACUACAGGAGACACACGGCGGGUGCUAACGUCCGUCGUGAAGAGGGAAACAACCCAGACCGCCAGCUAAGGUCCCGAAAUGACAGUUCAGUGGGAAACGAAGUGGGAAGGCUUAGACAGCUAGGAGGUUGGCUUAGAAGCAGCCAUCCUUUAAAGAAAGCGUAAUAGCUCACUAGUCGAGUCGUCCUGCGCGGAAGAUUUACCGGGGCUAAACUGCCUACCGAAGCUGCGGAUUUGCAUGAAGAUGCAAGUGGUAGGGGAGCGUUGUGUAAGCCGAAGAAGGUGUGUUGAGAAGCAUGCUGGAGGUAUCACAAGUGCGAAUGCUGACAUGAGUAACGAUAAUGCGGGUGAAAAACCCGCACACCGAAAACCCAAGGUUUCCUGCGCAACGCUAAUCGGCGCAGGGUGAGUCGGCCCCUAAGGCGAGGCGGAAACGCGUAGUCGAUGGGAAACAGGUUAAUAUUCCUGUACUGAUCAUAAUUGCGAUGGGGGGACGGAGAAAGCUAGGCCAGCACACUGUUGGAUGUGUGUUUAAGCGCGUAGGUUGGGGACUUAGGCAAAUCCGGGUUCCUAAGACUGAAACGUGAUGACGAGUUUCUACGGAAACGAAGUGGUUGAUGCUCUGCUUCCAGGAAAAGCCUCUAAGCUUCAGAUUAUGACAACCGUACCCCAAACCGACACAGGUGGGUAGGAAGAGAAUUCCAAGGUGCUUGAGAGAACUCGGGUAAAGGAACUCGGCAAAAUGAUACCGUAACUUCGGGAUAAGGUAUGCCUCUGAUGGUGAAUAGCUGUUGGAGGCCGCAGAGAAUAGGCCGCUGCGACUGUUUAUCAAAAACACAGCACUCUGCAAACACGCAAGUGGACGUAUAGGGUGUGACGCCUGCCCGGUGCCGGAAGGUUAAUUGAUGGGGUGCAAGCUCUUGAUCGAAGCCCCGGUAAACGGCGGCCGUAACUAUAACGGUCCUAAGGUAGCGAAAUUCCUUGUCGGGUAAGUUCCGACCUGCACGAAUGGCGUAACGAUGGCCACACUGUCUCCUCCCGAGACUCAGCGAAGUUG
RNAcentral lists this ribosomal RNA (1799 nucleotides) under human metagenome. RNAcentral's name for it is "bacterial LSU rRNA". It matches the Rfam family "Bacterial large subunit ribosomal RNA", at positions 181 to 2044 of the family's 2925-position model. The record is from RNAcentral.